UACAGAGGGUGCGAGCGUUAAUCGGAAUUACUGGGCGUAAAGCGCACGUAGGCGGCUUUGUAAGUUAGAGGUGAAAGCCCGGGGCUCAACUCCGGAAUUGCCUUUAAGACUGCAUCGCUAGAACGUCGGAGAGGUAAGUGGAAUUCCGAGUGUAGAGGUGAAAUUCGUAGAUAUUCGGAAGAACACCAGUGGCGAAGGCGACUCACUGGACGACUGUUGACGCUGAGGUGCGAAAGCGUGGGGAGCAAACAGG
Molecule: ribosomal RNA, 253 nt
Filed under: uncultured bacterium
Lineage: Bacteria
Description: partial 16S ribosomal RNA
Rfam family: Bacterial small subunit ribosomal RNA
Source: RNAcentral